AUAUAAAGUUGUUGCGGUUAAAAAGCUCGUAGUUGGAUCUCAGUUCCGGAUCGACGGUUCGCCUCUGGUGAUUUACUGUCGGUCCGAACAGCUCGUCGGCUCGCUCGGGGUGCUCUUCAUCGAGUGUCCCGCGUGGCCGGCACGUUUACUUUGAAAAAAUUAGAGUGCUCAGAGCAGGCUUACCGCCUGAAUAGUUGUGCAUGGAAUAAUGGAAUAGGACCUCGGUUCUAUUUUGUUGGUUUUCGGAACCCGAGGUAAUGAUAAAUAGAGACGGACGGGGGCAUUCGUAUUGCGACGCUAGAGGUGAAAUUCUUGGACCGUCGCAAGACGAACUACUGUGAAAGCAUUUGCCAAGAACGUUCUUAUUAAUCAAGAACGAAAGUUAGAGGUUCGAAGGCGAUCAGAUACCGCCCUAGUUCUAACCAUAAACGAUGCUGACUAGCGAUCCGUCUGUGUUAAUCCCAUGACUAGACGGGCAGCUUCCGGGAAACCAAAGUCUUUGAGUUCCGGGGGAAGUAUGGUUGCAAAGCUGAAACUUAAAGGAAUUGACGGAAGGGCACCACCAGGAGUGGAGCCUGCGGCUUAAUUUGACUCAACACGGGGAACCUCACCAGGCCCGGACACCGGAAGGAUUGACAGAUUGAGAGCUCUUUCUUGAUUCGGUGGGUGGUGGUGCAUGGCCGUUCUUAGUUGGUGGAGCGAUUUGUCUGGUUAAUUCCGAUAACGAACGAGACUUUAGCCUGCUAACUAGUCGGAGGGUCUAAUACAAGUGCCCUCCGCAGCUUCUUAGAGGGAUAAGCGGCAUCUA
RNAcentral lists this ribosomal RNA (808 nucleotides) under Pseudomma sp. 'M&M' ZMBN68270. Its description in RNAcentral is "SSU rRNA". It matches the Rfam family "Eukaryotic small subunit ribosomal RNA", at positions 602 to 1432 of the family's 1831-position model. Lineage: Eukaryota; Metazoa; Arthropoda; Malacostraca; Mysida; Mysidae. The record is from RNAcentral.